GACAGAGGGUGCAAACGUUGCUCGGAAUCACUGGGCGUAAAGGGCGUGUAGGCGGGUAGAUAAGUCGGGCGUGAAAUCCCUAGGCUCAACCUAGGAACUGCACUCGAAACUGUUUAUCUUGAGUGCCGGAGAGGAAAGCGGAAUUCCUGGUGUAGAGGUGAAAUUUGUAGAUAUCAGGAGGAACACCAGUGGCGAAGGCGGCUCGCUGGGACGUUACUGACGCUGAGA
Molecule: ribosomal RNA, 228 nt
Filed under: uncultured bacterium
Lineage: Bacteria
Description: partial 16S ribosomal RNA
Rfam family: Bacterial small subunit ribosomal RNA
Source: RNAcentral